Molecule: ribosomal RNA, 253 nt
Filed under: uncultured bacterium
Lineage: Bacteria
Description: partial 16S ribosomal RNA
Rfam family: Bacterial small subunit ribosomal RNA
Source: RNAcentral
UACGAAGGGGGCUAGCGUUGUUCGGAAUCACUGGGCGUAAAGGGUGCGUAGGCGGGUCUUUAAGUCAGGGGGGAAAUCCUGGAGCUCAACUCCAGAACUGCCUUUGAUACUGAGGAUCUUGAGUUCGGGAGAGGUGAGUGGAACUGCGAGUGUAGAGGUGAAAUUCGUAGAUAUUCGCAAGAACACCAGUGGCGAAGGCGGCUCACUGGCCCGAUACUGACGCUGAGGCACGAAAGCGUGGGGAGCAAACAGG